GGGGUUAUAGCUCAGUGGCACAGCACCUGCCUAGCAAGUACAAGGUCCUGAGUUCAAUUCUUAGUAAACCAA
RNAcentral lists this transfer RNA (72 nucleotides) under Cavia porcellus (domestic guinea pig). It matches the Rfam family "tRNA". From Rfam's summary of the family: Transfer RNA (tRNA) molecules are approximately 80 nucleotides in length. Their secondary structure includes four short double-helical elements and three loops (D, anti-codon, and T loops). Further hydrogen bonds mediate the characteristic L-shaped molecular structure. tRNAs have two regions of fundamental functional importance: the anti-codon, which is responsible for specific mRNA codon recognition, and the 3' end, to which the tRNAs corresponding amino acid is attached (by aminoacyl-tRNA synthetases). tRNAs cope with the degeneracy of the genetic code in two manners: having more than one tRNA (with a specific anti-codon) for a particular amino acid; and 'wobble' base-pairing, i.e. permitting non-standard base-pairing at the 3rd anti-codon position. The record is from Rfam by way of RNAcentral. Lineage: Eukaryota; Metazoa; Chordata; Mammalia; Rodentia; Caviidae.